GCUUGCCUAGUUUCAGUUGCUUGUGUUGGGUUGAGAUUUGCCUGUCCCUGACUCCCAUGUCUGAUAGGAACCCACAAACAAGUGCCACCUUUUCCUGACAAGGGAGAGAGCAGAUCUAUGAGAAUAUCUACCAUGACCCCCCCUCCCCUGCCAGUUCUCUUUCAUGUUCUGUUGGUGACAGCCUUACUGCUAUGUUUAUGCUGUGUUUUAUCCAUAUGCAUCUUAAAAGGUACGGUGAGAUGAGAGACAACCCUGGACAAGGAACAGUAGGACAGUCACAGUGCCUAAGCCAAAGGGCUAUGUAAGUGGAGACUCAGAGUGAGGACACUGGAGAGACCCUGACAUCCUUAUUCUGACUCUUCCCUGGGUAAACAAUUUCUCAUCACAAAUAGUCGAAUGAACAAGCAAAUACAUCAAGAAAUAAAAUGAAAACCAUACGGAAAAGCACUCGUGGAGACCCCUGGUUAUCUUGGGGGGAUAAAUAAAGGAAGUGGGGAACGGACAAUGAAAAUCGGGUUUGCUCUGCCCUGCCCCAGUGUCCUCUCGAUGCAUUGUAUUCCGUUCUCUUUCUCUCUGAGGGGCGCCCUGCUCUUCCAGGGGCUGAUAGGAAAUGUGAAGCUGUACAGUCAAGAGCACCACUAAUGAAAAGCAGAGGCAAAUGAGGCUGUAUUGACCCCUGACUUGUCCAGAUAAGGCGGGAUUAUCAUUACUUAGGAGAGUUUUGUUGAAAACAGCAUGGCAAGAGCUGCUUAUAAUUUGCGGGGGGGCAGAGGAUGGAGGGAGGUUGGAAUAUGAACCUUGAUGUAAAGAGAAC
This 814-nucleotide long non-coding RNA is filed under the name Mus spicilegus (steppe mouse). RNAcentral describes it as "lncRNA (ENSMSIG00000006484.1)". Lineage: Eukaryota; Metazoa; Chordata; Mammalia; Rodentia; Muridae. The record is from RNAcentral.